This 479-nucleotide ribosomal RNA is filed under the name Bacillus cereus. RNAcentral's name for it is "bacterial SSU rRNA". It matches the Rfam family "Bacterial small subunit ribosomal RNA", at positions 61 to 519 of the family's 1533-position model. The record is from RNAcentral. Lineage: Bacteria; Bacillati; Bacillota; Bacilli; Caryophanales; Bacillaceae.
GUCGAGCGAAUGGAUUAAGAGCUUGCUCUUAUGAAAGUUAGCGGCGGACGGGUGAGUAACACGUGGGUAACCUGCCCAUAAGACUGGGAUAACUCCGGGAAACCGGGGCUAAUACCGGAUAACAUUUUGAACCGCAUGGUUCGAAAUUGAAAGGCGGCUUCGGCUGUCACUUAUGGAUGGACCCGCGUCGCAUUAGCUAGUUGGUGAGGUAACGGCUCACCAAGGCAACGAUGCGUAGCCGACCUGAGAGGGUGAUCGGCCACACUGGGACUGAGACACGGCCCAGACUCCUACGGGAGGCAGCAGUAGGGAAUCUUCCGCAAUGGACGAAAGUCUGACGGAGCAACGCCGCGUGAGUGAUGAAGGCUUUCGGGUCGUAAAACUCUGUUGUUAGGGAAGAACAAGUGCUAGUUGAAUAAGCUGGCACCUUGACGGUACCUAACCAGAAAGCCACGGCUAACUACGUGCCAGCCGCCGCG